GGCUCGUUAGCUCAGUCGGUUAGAGCGUCGUGCUAAUAACGCGAAGGUCGUGGGUUCGACCCCCACACGAGCCA
This 74-nucleotide transfer RNA is filed under the name Centruroides sculpturatus (bark scorpion). Its description in RNAcentral is "tRNA-Ile". It matches the Rfam family "tRNA". Rfam says of the family: Transfer RNA (tRNA) molecules are approximately 80 nucleotides in length. Their secondary structure includes four short double-helical elements and three loops (D, anti-codon, and T loops). Further hydrogen bonds mediate the characteristic L-shaped molecular structure. tRNAs have two regions of fundamental functional importance: the anti-codon, which is responsible for specific mRNA codon recognition, and the 3' end, to which the tRNAs corresponding amino acid is attached (by aminoacyl-tRNA synthetases). tRNAs cope with the degeneracy of the genetic code in two manners: having more than one tRNA (with a specific anti-codon) for a particular amino acid; and 'wobble' base-pairing, i.e. permitting non-standard base-pairing at the 3rd anti-codon position. The record is from RNAcentral. Lineage: Eukaryota; Metazoa; Arthropoda; Arachnida; Scorpiones; Buthidae.